GACGAACGCUGGCGGCGUGCCUAAUACAUGCAAGUUGAGCGCUGAAGGUUGGUACUUGUACCAACUGGAUGAGCAGCGAACGGGUGAGUAACGCGUGGGGAAUCUGCCUUUGAGCGGGGGACAACAUUUGGAAACGAAUGCUAAUACCGCAUAAAAACUUUAAACACAAGUUUUAAGUUUGAAAGAUGCAAUUGCAUCACUCAAAGAUGAUCCCGCGUUGUAUUAGCUAGUUGGUGAGGUAAAGGCUCACCAAGGCGAUGAUACAUAGCCGACCUGGGAGGGUGAUCGGCCACAGUGGGACUGAGACACGGCCCAAACUCCUACGGGAGGCAGCAGUAGGGAAUCUUCGGCAAUGGACGAAAGUCUGACCGAGCAACGCCGCGGGAGUGAAGAAGGUUUUCGGAUCGUAAAACUCUGUUGGUAGAGAAGAACGUUGGUGAGAGUGGAAAGCUCAUCAAGUGACGGUAACUACCCAGAAAGGGACGGCUAACUACGUG
RNAcentral lists this ribosomal RNA (497 nucleotides) under uncultured bacterium. Its description in RNAcentral is "partial 16S ribosomal RNA". It matches the Rfam family "Bacterial small subunit ribosomal RNA", at positions 28 to 507 of the family's 1533-position model. The record is from RNAcentral.